RNAcentral lists this microRNA precursor (143 nucleotides) under Gossypium arboreum. Its description in RNAcentral is "MIR7502 microRNA precursor family". It matches the Rfam family "MIR7502 microRNA precursor family". The record is from Rfam by way of RNAcentral. Lineage: Eukaryota; Viridiplantae; Streptophyta; Magnoliopsida; Malvales; Malvaceae.
UAUUAAAAAUUUUAUCCAUUUAUACUGUUAAAAAAUAAGUUAACAGAAUAAUUAGACAAUAACAAUGGCAUGCCACAUGUAAUAUCUUAUGUUGAAGUACAGGGACAAAUUUUAAACAGUAAAAAUAAAUGAAAUCUUUAAUA